CUCGUUCGAUUACCGAAGUUAAGCAUCGUAGAGCUAGGUCAGUACUUAGAUGGAGGACCGCUUGGGAACACCUGGUACUGUAAG
Molecule: ribosomal RNA, 84 nt
Filed under: Acanthosepion pharaonis
Lineage: Eukaryota; Metazoa; Mollusca; Cephalopoda; Sepiida; Sepiidae
Source: RNAcentral